Molecule: long non-coding RNA, 5452 nt
Organism: Planococcus citri (citrus mealybug)
Lineage: Eukaryota; Metazoa; Arthropoda; Insecta; Hemiptera; Pseudococcidae
Exons: 6
Source: RefSeq, a predicted model, not a curated record
GGUCUUACAUUCUAGUACCAAAGAAUAAAUGCACAAUAUUUCCUUAUCAACCGGGUAAAAUUAGCGAAACUAGUGAAGUUGAAAGUACUGCAUUGAUUGUGUAGAGUUUAUUAGAAAAACGUGCUAUUGGUACUUUUACUGGUAAAGAUAUUCAUUUCAAAAAUGAAUUCAUUCCAGUGCAGUGUGUUUAAAGUUGUCAACAGAUUUUUUCUGUUCGCAAUUAUAUUUGUCUGUAUCGUAAAGUAUAAUACGAAUGGAGUUUCGGCCAAUAAUUUCGGAAAGGGUUUCACUAAAGAAUGUAUUCAUGGAAAUAUUACAAUUGGACGUCCAGUUUAUGGACAGAGACUGCUAAAUACAACAAACAUGAAUAAGUCGGGAAGCUGGUUCGGCAAGAACACCGUCAAAGUUCGAUUUCCCCCCUAUGGAUCUCGUCUUCGAGUGAAUAUUUCACAAGUUCAGAUUAUAAAUCGUUAUAGAGGAUGCGACUGUUACUGGAAUGAAACAAAAAUUUCAUCUGGUGGCAUCGGAAAAUCUUUCAUUGAACUGUCCCUAACAACUGGCUUCAGGUGUGACAACAACCAUUCCUUUUUGUUCUUCAACAGUUCCUCAUGGCGUUAGAUCAUCAGAUUCAGAGACGAUUGAAUCUAAUGCUUUAUGAUUAAGUAUAAUGAUGGUACUAACUGUAUGUAUAUGCUCUCGAUUUUUAUACCUACAUAUCUAUCUCGUUUUAAUUUAUCAGUAAGCACCGAAGUAACUAUAGUUUGAAUUAAUAUCUAUUCCAAGUGCAGUUGUACCUACUUACCUAUAAUUUUUUGAACUAAAAAUAAAAUUCACAAAAUACGUUGAAAUGCAUUCUUAUUUUCUGUUUGAAUUAAUAUUCAUUAUAUACUAGGGUUUGGCUUUGGCAUUGUUGCAAGCGAAUACUUCAUUUUCAACUUUCAGAAAUGUGAAUUUUCAAUUUUGCAGUUGAGAAGGCCGAACUGGCCGACGGCAGAGAAGAGGCAGAGAGACGAAAGUACAAAAAAUUGAAAAAAUACUUGCAUAGUAGAUACAUGCAUGUUGCACGAAUGCACGUACCUACUGUUUUCUUUUAUUUCUACAUUGAAGAAGUUUUCAUUCUGAGCUACUUAGUGAGCCAUUCUGACUUACGUGAGUUGAACUCUGGUUUGGUUUGGUUCCUGUACCGGCUGCAUCUGGCUGGAGUAAAGCCCUAGAACGUUCUGUUCGUCUGAGUCUGAAGCGUUGGAGAACUUGCAAGUUUCAAGCUUUCAACCAGCAAAGUAAAGUGAAGAAAACUUGACAGACGCAGACAGAGUCACGACCCUCUGCUCAGAUUAUUAAUCAUUAAUGAAAAUUGAAAAUGUUUCGAUUUCGAUUUUGAAUUUUUGAACAAUAUUGAAAGAGCAGAACUAGAACAGACUCAGGAUCAAGAACAACAAACGAGAAAAAUUUUUAAAAAAAUUCAAUUUUCUCAUUUUCUUGUUCUUCCGUAUAUUUUCCGGCGUUGCAAUAUCACAACGGCAGCCAUCAACUACACCCACCUACCCUCCGGCCUUUUGUCGUAAUCAGUCAAGUGUUAGUGAUAAUUUUUUGAAGAUUUUCGUUGUCCUUUUUCGCGAUUAAAUAAGUAAUUUUUUGUACAAUAAUAAUCGAAAUGUCGAAAUAUCAUGUGUAAUUGUGUAUUACUCGAACAUAUCAUCUCUCGGUGGAGUUGAUCGUCCUGCAGAUAUUCGUUUCUUACCACUUUAUCGUGAAUUUAAACUUCAAACUCGAAAUUAAUUAUGAGUCGAGAUAACGUCAAUAAAAUCUAUGUUCCCGACGAAUUACGUGAAAUCUUGUUUGAUUUCACUGUGAAUCAUCCUCUGCAACCUCAGGAAGAUGUAGUCACAUACGCUGAUUUUUUCAACCGAUUGAGGGAAACUCGUAAGGUGACGGAUAUAAGAUAAUCCUUCUAUCUGUUGGCAAAGAAUUAUUCAACUCGGAAGAUGAGGUUCUUGUGAAUUGGUUCGAUUCAAGACGAAAAUCUGUCAUCGGCUCAUCGCCGAAGCAUCCUGAAGAGAAUGAGGAUAAAGAUAAUAAAAAAGAACAAAUGAACGAAGUUAUCGAUGCUAUGGUUGAAAAAAAUCACGUUAGAUAAAGAAUUAUACCAUCAAACAAGGAGAUGAUAGAGAUAAUUUUUAUGUCAUUCAAGAGUAAGCGUUCAUUUACCAAAUAGAACUCGAAUUAUUGCAUUUUUCUUACUGCCUAAAGGUCUAGCUGCGGUGAAUUGGCUUUUGUACUAUCGAGAACGUACCAAUGCGAAAAGCUCUACAGAUUAAGAAGAUCGAAAAAAGUCGCUAUUUUGGUGAAUUGGCUUUGCUCACGCAUAAACACAGAGCUGCCUCGUUCUAUGCACUUGGUGAUGUCAAAUUACGAGUAGCUUUCUUGGAUAUGGAAGCGUUUGAAAGAUGAUUGGAUCCUUGUACUAUGAAAUGCAACAUCGACGACUACGAGAAUCAGCUAGUGAAAAUAUUCAGAUCAAAGUGUAACGUUAACAUGUCCGAUAACGAGCACAAUCUACCAAAGUGCCAUAAAAAAUCACCAAUUUUAAGUACAUAUAAUUUUUCUCUCGUUACAUUUUUUAUACGUACUUCGUUCUUAAUCAAAAUUUAUUUUUGUUUUUCGUUCUUUCACACGCCUUGUUUCGGUUUUUAGAAUUCGGAAAAUAUCACGUUAUCAUGAUGACGUGUGAAAAAAAAAUGCGAUGGUAUUAAUUUCUAAUAAUUUUGUAUGAACUUUUGUUGUCUUAUUCAUGAGCACUUUUAAUAUAGUAAAUUUCUAGCACGUUUUUUUUUUUUUUUUUUUUUUUUUAUACCUAAUCAGAAGUCAGAACCUGCCCUAUUUUUAUUGUAAUGUGAUUCACUUAUUUUACAUAGACAACUCAAAGUUGAGAAUGUUUUUUUUUUCUUUUUUAAUAAAAUUAAGUGGGUAAUCAAAAAUUUUCACCAUCAUGGAAUGAGCAAUAUUCUGUUCUGAUUUUCAAUUUUUUUUUUUUGUGUUAGUUUUGUUCGUGAGCAGUAUUUCUAUCAAUUGAAGGAAUUGCAAAAAUUGUUUUCAAGUCUAGGCUUCAUGUUGAAAAAUUGGCUUUUCACUUCAUUAUUCAUUAAUAUCUAUCUUUUUAACAUACGUCUCAAUAAUCUACUUCAAUUCGAGAUUCAAGGACCCAUUCCUCCGAACCUAUGAUCCAAAUCUGCAUAGAAAAUUCUCACUCGCCUUAUUCAAAGCGUAUAAGGUAAAAGAAGAAAAUCUACUUCGGGUGAGAAUUUCUCGAAAGUCGAAAGAAACACCAAAACCGAACCAGAGUUAGAAUUUAAAUCUUUGCGGUACGGCGACGGCAACGAACGAGCAAUGUUGCCGAACAAGAACCACGGUUUAAAAUUUCCAUCGAUGUAAGGGCCAGGGGAAGGGGGUAGGAGUUUGUACUGAUUCUGUGUUUCUCGCGGUGAUGCAGGAAAGGAACAGAAUUUGCCGAGUAUCUUUUGAUGUUGUCUCGAAGUUAGAACAUAGUCUGCUACGUGCGCUGUGGAUGAGAGAGGUGGGUGGGGAAAUUUCGCCAACUUUGAAAUGUUAAAUUCCAGCGAAUUCUUUAACCGCCGAUUUAAUUAGAGAGUUACUCAAAUGACAGCAUCGCUGCCUAUUUGUAGGCGUCAUUUGAAUAAUGCCGCCGUUCUCGUAGCGGCGAUAUUUUUACAGCAUUGGCCCCUUUAUCCUCUUCUCAAUCCCCCUCGUCGGUGAUGUACCACCUCAGAAGAUGUUAAACGAGUCGUGUCAAAGCGACUAGUACGAACGUAAUGGCGUUACUGUUGUUAAUUCGUCUUGUACAAUUUAAGCAUUAUUUUUCAGUCUUUUGUAUUUUUCAAAUACGUGUUCGAGGAAAUUGAUUAAUCAAUUUUCUGCAGUAUUUAUGCUCUAUAAUUCGAAGCAUCACCGUUGCAUGUAAAAAUAAUUUCAAAGUCUCGAGUGGUCGGUCAGAAUUUUUUCAAUUUUUUUUUUAGAUUAUUUUUUUAUAAUUACGCGAAAUUUUCUUCUAAAUUUAAUCAAAAGGUUCGAUGUUGGUACCCUUGACCACUGAAAAAAUUCUACGACGGCGUUCGGCACGUUAACUUUGACAAUCAUUGUGUAUUGUAGUAUUCGAUAAUCUACGAAUCCAAUUUGAACGAAGAGUAUUUUAAAAAUUUGUAACUAUUUGUUCGUACAAUAAGAACACAAAACGAAUAUUUAUAGAUUUUUUUUUUCGGUAGAAUGAAAUAAGGUAACGGUAAUGUUUCGAGGAACCCGAUGCUAUAAAUAAGUAAGACAAACAAAACCUUUUUACGUGUGUAUCAGUGUGUGAAAAAAAACAAAAAAAAACGUUUCAAUGUAGCAUAUUUAUGUAAAUGUAUAAUCAUACGAAAUGUAAAGUUACAUAAAUUUUAAAGCUGUCGUAAUAUUUUUCACGUAAUAUAUGUACAAUUUGUCUAUGUACAUAUUGUAAAAAUUCGUCAAUCUUUAACGAAUAUUACUAAUUUUGUUAAUUGAAAUUUAUGUACGUACCUAGGUACAUUCCAAACCUCCUCGUAUCACUGUUGUCUGUUCGUUGAGGCGUUUUCUUUUUUCUCUCUCCCUUUUUUCCUCUCGUUUCUUCGUGGGAUCUAAUAAUUAAGAAUUUAACGUACAAUUUAACAUAGGUAUUUAGGUACCAAGUUGAAGUUUAGAGAAAAAAAUUACUAAUCCUUAAUUAAUUUAUCAAUUUUGAAUUUUUUUAGGAGUACAAUAUUUGUUGUUUUGAUGAGAUAAAAAACAUAACUAGGUAAAAUUUAAAAAAAAUAAUAAUCCAUAUUACGAAUAAUUAUUGUGGUUUGAGACGGUUUUAAAUUUUAUUUUUAAUGGUAUGAGCUAUUUUAGCAGUAGUUGAUGUGCGUACAUUAAUGUAUUGUUUCGUUUUUUUAUUUUCAUUUUAUUCGUUAAUACGUUGUGUUGCAGUCCUAUAGUUUUUAAAUAUUCUGCUACCUAUUUAGAUUCCUGCGUUUAUGCUCAUCGAGUUAUAAAUUCCUAAAUACAGAAAACAUGAAUCAAAACAAUAAAAUCUCUGCUUAAUGCAGUAUUUUUUUUUUUUUUUUUUUGAACAUAGGUAAUUUUCGUUUUGUUUUUAUCGAUAUUUUUACUUAAGUAUUUGAUAUGAUGAAUUGAAUUAUACAAUAUUUUUUUAAAUAAAAAAAUGUGUUUUUUCAUCACUAGCUUCAAAAUCAUUUAUAAAAACGGGCUGUUAAUCCAACGCGUAUUUUACUAUGUUAUGUAUGUUUUUACCGAUAUGUGUAACUUUUUAUUCAUAAAUGGAUUAUCGUGUUAGUGUUCAGUCGUACCGUAGUUGAUAUUACAUAGUAAUUUUUAAGCAGUUUUAAAUUUUAAUUCAUUUAAUAAAUGUGUUAACUGA